Molecule: long non-coding RNA, 897 nt
Filed under: Gallus gallus (chicken)
Lineage: Eukaryota; Metazoa; Chordata; Aves; Galliformes; Phasianidae
Description: lncRNA (ENSGALG00010025908.1)
Source: RNAcentral
CACUGUGACCCCAAUUCCCAUCAGUGUCCCCACAGCACUGUGACCCCAAUUCCCAUCAGUGACCCCAAUUCCCAUCAGUGUCCCCACAGCGCAGUGACCCCAAUUCCCGUCAGUGACCCCAAUUCCCAUCAGUGUCCCCACAGCACUGUGACCCCAAUUCCCAUCGGUGUCCCCACAGCACUGUGACCCCAAUUCCCCGCUGUGACCCCAAUUCCCAUCAGUGUCCCCACAGCACUGUGACCCCAAUUCCCGUCAGUGACCCCAAUUCCCAUCAGUGUCCCCACAGCGCUGUGACCCCAAUUCCCGUCGGUGUCCCCGCAGCACUGUGACCCCAAUUCCCGUCAGUGUCCCCACAGCACUGUGACCCCAAUUCCCGUCAGUGACCCCAAUUCCCGUCAGUGUCCCCAUAGCACUGUGACCCCAAUUCCCGUCAGUGACCCCAAUUCCCAUCAGUGUCCCCACAGCACUGUGACCCCAAUUCCCGUCAGUGUCCCCAUAGCGCUGUGACCCCAAUUCCCCACUGUGACCCCAAUUCCCGUCAGUGUCCCCAUAGCACUGUGACCCCAAACUCUGGUGGUGUCCCCACAUUGCUGUGUCCCCAUCUCCCCACCGUGUGGCACUGUGUCUCUGUCACUCAGCUCUGGCAGUGUCCCCUCUGUGUCCCUCUGGCACUGCGUCCCUCCCACCCCAAAAUCUGACAGUGUCCCCAUGUGUCCCCGUGAUCCCAAACUCUCAGUGUCCCCUCUGUGUCCCCUCCAUUCCUCAUGACCCCGUGUCCCUGUCACCCACACCGGCAGUGUCCCCAUGGCUCUGUGUCCCCAUCACCCCAAACUGUCAGUGUCCCCUCUGUAUCCCUAUGACCCCAAACCCUCUCAGUGUCCCCUCUGUGUCCCCAUC